RNAcentral lists this ribosomal RNA (420 nucleotides) under Enterobacteriaceae bacterium LA20. RNAcentral describes it as "partial 16S ribosomal RNA". It matches the Rfam family "Bacterial small subunit ribosomal RNA", at positions 629 to 1048 of the family's 1533-position model. The record is from RNAcentral. Lineage: Bacteria; Pseudomonadati; Pseudomonadota; Gammaproteobacteria; Enterobacterales; Enterobacteriaceae.
GAAACUGGCAANCUAGANUNUNNUNGAGGGGGGUAGAAUUCCAGGUGUAGCGGUGAAAUGCGUAGAGAUCUGGAGGAAUACCGGUGGCGAAGGCGGCCCCCUGGACAAAGACUGACGNUCAGGUGCGAAAGCGUGGGGAGCAAACAGGAUUAGAUACCCUGGUAGUCCACGCUGUAAACGAUGUCGAUUUGGAGGUUGUGCCCUUGAGGCGUGGCUUCCGGAGCUAACGCGUUAAAUCGACCGCCUGGGGAGUACGGCCGCAAGGUUAAAACUCAAAUGAAUUGACGGGGGCCCGCACAAGCGGUGGAGCAUGUGGUUUAAUUCGAUGCAACGCGAAGAACCUUACCUACUCUUGACAUCCAGAGANNNNUGCAGAGAUGCGGNAGNGCCUUCGGGAACUNUGAGACAGGUGCUGCAUGG